Molecule: transfer RNA, 72 nt
Filed under: Ictidomys tridecemlineatus (thirteen-lined ground squirrel)
Lineage: Eukaryota; Metazoa; Chordata; Mammalia; Rodentia; Sciuridae
Description: Spermophilus tridecemlineatus (thirteen-lined ground squirrel) tRNA
Rfam family: tRNA
About the family: Transfer RNA (tRNA) molecules are approximately 80 nucleotides in length. Their secondary structure includes four short double-helical elements and three loops (D, anti-codon, and T loops).
Source: Rfam by way of RNAcentral
GGGGUUGUAGCUCAACGGUAUAGCACUUGCUUGGCAUGUGUGAGGUCCUGGGUUCGAAUCUCAGCAGCACAU